UUUCACAACGGCCACUGCAGUCUCUCACCAAAAAGCUUCAGUCUCUGCAGUUUCACUGCCUGCAAUUCAUCGCAGUUCCCAGCAAAAUAACCGCUUAAAGCAAAAUCAAGGAGAAAUUUCAUCUAUUUCUUGUUUCUCUCUCAUUAAUCACUACCCCAAUCUGAAUUGGGGAAAUGGGCACAACCAAAUUCGGCAUUGCGAGCUGCGCUGAAUUCGUGGGAAGUUCUCAGAAGGUGAAUUCUGCUUGUUUAAGCUACCCCAGUUUAGGUUAUUCAUCUCUUUCGUUUGCGGGGAGAUUCGGUUCCGCUGCAUUCAGGCGAAGUCGUUCUACAGUGGCGUUAAGGGCGUCUUUUACUCCGGUUUCUGUCAGAGUUAGUGCUUCCUCCGCCACCGGUAUGCCUAACGGCGAAUUGGAAGCUUCAUCUACGAGGGUGAUUGGAGCUAGUGACUUGUUGAUUGUGGGGCCAGGCGUUCUAGGACGCAUAGUGGCUGAAAUCUGGCUAAAGGAGCAUCCAGGUUCUCAAGUUUACGGGCAGACCUUGACAAGCGAUCACCACAAUGAGUUAAUAGAAUUGGGGAUUAGUCCAUGUCUUAAGGGAACCCAGGUGGCUCAUAAGUUCCCUUAUGUGAUUUUCUGUGCCCCUCCAUCCCGAAAUUCAGAUUAUCCUGGUGAAGUCAGGGAAGCUACUUUAAAAUGGAACGGUGAAGGCUCUUUCCUGUUUACUUCAAGCUCCGCUACCUAUGACUGCAGUGACAAUGGAUACUGUGACGAGGACACUCCAGUAGUACCAGUUGGGAGGAGCCCUAGGACAGAUAAAUUGCUUAAUGUGGAGAAAGUAGUGUUGGAGGCUGAUGGUUGCAUUCUUAGAUUGGCUGGGCUUUACAAAGCAGGUAGAGGUGCCCAUACAUACUGGUUGAAGCAAGGCAGUGUUGAUAUUCGGCCUGAUCACAUCCUUAAUCUAAUACAUUAUGAGGAUGCAGCUUCACUUGCAAUUUCCAUCUUAAAAAGGAAACUCCAUGGGCGGAUCUUUCUUGGCUGUGAUAAUAACCCUUUAUCCAGGAAGGAAGUGAUGGAAUUGGUUAACAAAAGUGGAAAAUAUAAUCAGAAAUUCGAGGGUUUUACGGGAACAACUGGUCCUCUGGGUAAGAAAUUAAACAACUCCAAAACUCGUGCAGAGCUGGGAUGGGAGCCAAAAUAUCCCAGCUUUGCGCAGUUCCUUGAGUCUCUUUGAGAAACUUUGUGUGAUCAACCUCAUUGCCCGAGAUGUUUUUGAAGCAAGUGGCAUAUAGUCAUCAAUCAUACCUGAAGUAUUCCCUCAGGCGGCCUCAUUAUCUUUGCCUCAUUAUGAUGAUAGGUGAGAGUACGGUGAAAGAUCUUUGAUCACAUUUUGGUGCCACACCGAGGUAGAGGUAGACCAACGUGUAAUUUCAUUUGCUUCCCGCUUUAAAUCAUAAUUUAGUUUAAAUAUAUUUUUAAAUUUUCAAAAAGCGUCACAUGUCAAUCAGGCAUUGGCUACAGUAUGUGUGAGAACAACAAUACGAUUGGCAAAAGGUGGAGAAUAUGUAUGCAAGUCUUGAAGAAAAAGAAAUACUUAAAGAUAAAUGCUACAAUUUAUUUAAUUAGUCUUCUUAUGUUAGAAAAAUCAUAAAACCACUGUAUAUGGAAUCCAACAAACAAUAUAAUCUAGAAAAAUUUGUACUCCAUUUAACUCUGUUGUUGAUCAAUACUUUGCACAUAAAGUGCCUUAAUUGCAACAUGCAAACAUAAUCAUAUUUUCAUGGAGGAAAAUUGUGUUUUUUCUUUUGUCCUGAGGGUGGAAAAGUGCCUUUUCGAGUGAUUUUUCAGGGUACAAUUUGCAUGAGCAAAUAUAUAUUUGAGUGAUUUUAAAUGAGGAAAACAAAAUCUAUAACUUUAAUUUAAUUAAGUAGUAGUAUAUAUAAACAUAAUAUGAAUGACUAAUAAAAAUAAAUGUGUUGAGCACUUUAUUUCUAUGGGUCGGCUCAAAAUGUUUGUGAUGGAGAGAGGCAUCCACCUCUUUUGGUUUCGUCUUCAGCGACUUCUCACCUGUCCUUGUCUGUGGUCCGUUGCUGAGUUUGAAAAUUGGGGGAGAAAGAAGAAGUUGGUGCUCAAUUUUGAGAAAUAGGGAAUAGAA
This is a non-coding RNA of Sesamum indicum (sesame), 2153 nucleotides long. Lineage: Eukaryota; Viridiplantae; Streptophyta; Magnoliopsida; Lamiales; Pedaliaceae. The record is from RefSeq and is a predicted model, not a curated record.